Molecule: ribosomal RNA, 401 nt
Filed under: uncultured bacterium
Lineage: Bacteria
Description: bacterial SSU rRNA
Rfam family: Bacterial small subunit ribosomal RNA
Source: RNAcentral
GGGGAAUAUUGCGCAAUGGGGGGAACCCUGACGCAGCAACGCCGCGUGAGUGAAGAAGGUUUUCGGAUCGUAAAGCUCUGUCAUCGGGGACGAAGAAUGACGGUACCCGAAGAGGAAGCCCCGGCUAACUACGUGCCAGCAGCCGCGGUAAUACGUAGGGGGCGAGCGUUGUCCGGAAUUACUGGGCGUAAAGGGUGCGUAGGCGGCCUGAUAAGUCAGAUGUGAAAUACCAGGGCUUAACCCUGGGGGUGCAUUUGAAACUGUCGGGCUUGAGUGCAGGAGAGGAAAGCGGAAUUCCUAGUGUAGCGGUGAAAUGCGUAGAUAUUAGGAGGAACACCAGUGGCGAAGGCGGCUUUCUGGACUGUAACUGACGCUGAGGCACGAAAGCGUGGGUAGCGAAC